GUCUGCUUUGAGCACAAAGGAGACGGAGAAUGGCUUGCCUUGUAUUGCUGUUCCAUCAUCCACAGAGGAGCUGUUUCUGUGAUUACAUGGAGCAACCCAGGGGCAUUGGAAACCACACAGAAAACUCAUGCAAGUGAUACUUACAGUACUUACAGUUUUCUCGAUCGGAGUCAGCAUUCAGAAAGUAAGUGUCUCAAGGUUAUACAGGUUCAUAGGAUCAUAGAUUUAGAGCUGACAGAGACCUCAGAGGCCAUCAAGUCACAAAUACUCAUUUUACUAAAAGAUGAGGAAACUGAGACUGAGAGACAGAUUGCCCAGCACACAGUGAGUAAAUAUUGGAUUUAGGAUUUGAACCCAAGUCAUUUGGCUCCAGAGUCAUACCUCUUUCCAUUCUUCCCUGUUUUCUCAUUGCUUCCAAAUCCAGUGCUCCUUUGUCUCCAUUUUUUUAAAUCAGCAAAAUAGUUGCUUUACCUUUUGGGCCUUUGUUCUAAACCUACUUCUUCCAAAUAUUGUUUCUGGCUAGAAUAAAAAAUAGUAUUAAGUUGUCUAAAUCUGUCUA
RNAcentral lists this long non-coding RNA (559 nucleotides) under Monodelphis domestica (gray short-tailed opossum). Its description in RNAcentral is "lncRNA (ENSMODG00000039569.1)". Lineage: Eukaryota; Metazoa; Chordata; Mammalia; Didelphimorphia; Didelphidae. The record is from RNAcentral.